Molecule: ribosomal RNA, 574 nt
Filed under: Scinax fuscomarginatus (brown-bordered snouted treefrog)
Lineage: Eukaryota; Metazoa; Chordata; Amphibia; Anura; Hylidae
Description: partial 16S ribosomal RNA
Rfam family: Bacterial large subunit ribosomal RNA
Source: RNAcentral
CGCCUCUUGAAUAAAAAUAAGAGGUCCAGCCUGCCCAGUGACUAAUAUUCAACGGCCGCGGUAUCCUAACCGUGCGAAGGUAGCGCAAUCACUUGUUCUUUAAAUGGGGACUAGUAUGAAUGGCAUCACGAGGGUUAUACUGUCUCCUUUUUCUAAUCAGUGAAUCUAAUCUCCCCGUGAAGAAACGGGGAUACACCUACAAGACGAGAAGACCCUAUGGAGCUUUAAAUACCUCUUCAAACGUUGGACCUCCUCCCCAGUUUUAAACUCACCUAUAUUAACCCCGUACGCUAUGAAGACAACUUUAGGUUGGGGUGACCGCGGAGUACAACAUAACCUCCACGCUGAAUCAGACUCUUUAAGCCUGAGCCAAGAGCCACUGCUCAAAGCACUAAUAAAUUAACAUUUAUUGACCCAAAACAUUUGAUCAACGAACCAAGUUACCCUAGGGAUAACAGCGCAAUCCAUUUCAAGAGUCCAUAUCGACAAAUGGGUUUACGACCUCGAUGUUGGAUCAGGGUAUCCCAGUGGUGCAGCCGCUACUAAUGGUUCGUUUGUUCAACGAUUAAAACCC